GAUGAACGCUGGCGGCGUGCCUAAUACAUGCAAGUCGAGCGAACAGACGAGGAGCUUGCUCCUCUGACGUUAGCGGCGGACGGGUGAGUAACACGUGGAUAGCCUACCUAUAAGGCUGGGAUAACUUCGGGAAACCGGAGCUAAUACCGGAUAAUAUAUUGAACCGCAUGGUUCAAUAGUGAAAGACGGUUUUGCUGUCACUUAUAGAUGGAUCCGCGCCGCAUUAGCUAGUUGGUAAGGUAACGGCUUACCAAGGCAACGAUGCGUAGCCGACCUGAGAGGGUGAUCGGCCACACUGGAACUGAGACACGGUCCAGACUCCUACGGGAGGCAGCAGUAGGGAAUCUUCCGCAAUGGGCGAAAGCCUGACGGAGCAACGCCGCGUGAGUGAUGAAGGUCUUCGGAUCGUAAAACUCUGUUAUUAGGGAAGAACAAAUGUGUAAGUAACUAUGCACGUCUUGACGGUACCUAAUCAGAAAGCCACGGCUAACUACGUG
Molecule: ribosomal RNA, 497 nt
Filed under: uncultured bacterium
Lineage: Bacteria
Description: partial 16S ribosomal RNA
Rfam family: Bacterial small subunit ribosomal RNA
Source: RNAcentral